GACGGAGGGUGCAAACGUUGUUCGGAAUCACUGGGCAUAAAGAGCACGUAGGCUGUGCGCUAAGUCAGGUGUGAAAUCCCCCGGCUCAACCGGGGAACUGCACCUGAUACUGGCGUGCUCGAGGACGGUAGGGGUGAGUGGAACUCCAGGUGGAGCGGUGAAAUGCGUAGAUAUCUGGAGGAACACCGGUGGCGAAAGCGGCUCACUGGACCGUCUCUGACGCUGAGGUGCGAAAGCUAGGGUAGCAAACGGG
This 253-nucleotide ribosomal RNA is filed under the name uncultured bacterium. Its description in RNAcentral is "partial 16S ribosomal RNA". It matches the Rfam family "Bacterial small subunit ribosomal RNA", at positions 524 to 776 of the family's 1533-position model. The record is from RNAcentral.